UCCAAUUAUGUUGACUUAUCUUUCUUUCCACAUUUCAUACAUUAUGUUUCUUACCAAAAUCUACAAUGGUGGAAUCUAUUCUCUGUAAACUUUCAAGCAAAGCAAAGUAAGAAGUUGGUCUAGAAUUCCCACUCCUGAACCCCUUGCCUGUCAGGCCUCUGAGCCCAAACUAAGCCAUCAUAUCCCCUGUGACCAGCAUGUGUACAUCCAGAUGUCCUGAAGCAACUGAAGAUCCACAAAAGAAGUGAAAAUAGCCUUAACUGAUGACAUUCCACCACUGUGAUUUGUUCCUGACCCACCCUAACUGAUACGAUAUAUUCUUCCCCGCCCUUAAGAAGGUAAUAGCUGAUAAUACCUAUUCCUGUAUAAGUCUGAAUUAUUGGUGACAUCUGAGCAGUAACCAUAGUGAUAUGGGGGAAAGAACCACGUGGAUUUUGAGGCAUGUUUGGGGAACAUAGGAGAGUUUUGGCUGGGGAGAUUACAACUCAUAUUUUAAAGGAAUCAUCUGAUUGCUGUAAGAAGGGUCUACUGGGGCUGGGGACAAGAAUAUAAACAGUUUGGAAUCAAUUGCAAUAAUCAAGGUGAUAGAUUUUGGUGACCUUGCUUCAG
RNAcentral lists this long non-coding RNA (609 nucleotides) under Homo sapiens (human). RNAcentral's name for it is "HSALNT0319915". The record is from RNAcentral. Lineage: Eukaryota; Metazoa; Chordata; Mammalia; Primates; Hominidae.